Eriocheir sinensis (Chinese mitten crab) is the source of this 1199-nucleotide long non-coding RNA. RefSeq lists it as uncharacterized. The transcript has 3 exons. The record is from RefSeq and is a predicted model, not a curated record. NCBI's taxonomy places the organism in Eukaryota, Metazoa, Arthropoda, Malacostraca, Decapoda, Varunidae.
AAAAAUAGUGAGGAAGGAAAGAAAGAGGGAAGGAAGUUAAGAAGGAAAUGAGGAAUGAUGGAAGGAACGGAGGAAGGAAGGAAGGAAGGAAGGAAGGAGAGAAGGAAUUAAGAAAUAAGUACAUGAAUGAAUAUUAAGCCAAAGACAUCCAUUAAUAUAUUUUUCAUCGCUAUAAAACAUCCAAUUUCUGCCUUAAAAUUAAAACAUAUACAUUUACUUAUGCUUAAGAUAAGUAAAUAAGGGUUAGGAUUUUGUUUUAAGUCAGGGGAUGUUAAUAAAGAGAAGAACAAUUGUUUAAUGGAAGAGGUACUGAAAGAAAAUGGGGCUAGGGUUGCCGGGGGUGAGGUUUAAGGGGGGCUACUCUAUAAUUAAGGGAAGAUGGGGUCAGGGUUGCCUUAACAGAAUAAUUUGCGGACCAUCUAGGGAAUACGUUGGAUUUUGGCGGCAAAGUCUGACCGAUGCCCGCGAGCGUUAUAAUAUUAUAAUGGUAGAAGUUUUAGCAGUGACUGAGGCGUUGCAAAGUUUAGAGAGGAUGAAGAUAGCAGGAUUAAAAGGAUGAUAAUUGGCAGCAGAUAGAUAGGUAGAAAGUGUUAUUAUUAGCGUUAGUAUUAUAAUAGUGGAUGUUUUAGCAGUGAGUGAGGCGUUGCAAAGUUUAGAGAGGAUGAAGAUAGCAGGAUUAAAAGGAUGAUAAUUGGCAGCAGAUAGAUAGGUAGAAAGUGUUAUUAUUAGCGUUAGUAUUAUAUUAGUGGAAGUUUUAGCAGUGAGUGAGGCGUUGCAAAGUUUAGAGAGGAUGAAGACAGCAAGAUUAAAAGGAUGAUAAUUGGCAGCAGAUAGAUAGGUAGAAAGUGUUAUUAUUAGCGUUAGUAUUAUAAUAGUGGAUGUUUUAGCAGUGAGUGAGGCGUUGCAAAGUUUAGAGAGAAUGAAGAUAGCAAGAUUAAAAGGAUGAUAAGCGGCAGCAGAUAGAUAAAGAGGGUUAGUAUUAGUGUCAGAGUUAGUAUUAGUAAUAUGAGUGGAUGUUUUAGCAGUAAGUUAGACGUUGGAAAGAUCAAAGAGGAGAAGCCUGCAAGAUCAAGAAAGAUGUGACUGACGCAUAAUGAUAAUAAUUUCGAAAGGACGAGAACGAACGAACGGACGAACGGAGGGAGGAAGGGAAGGAAGAAAUGCGAAUCUCCAGGAAGGAUCGAGUUUAGCAAAUUUAU